GACGAACGCUGGCGGCGUGCUUAACACAUGCAAGUCGAACGGUAAGGCCCUUCGGGGUACACGAGUGGUGAACGGGUGAGUAACACGUGGGUAAUCUGCCCUGCACAUCGGGAUAAGCCUGGGAAACUGGGUCUAAUACCGAAUAGGACCACAGGACACAUGUCCUGUGGUGGAAAGCUUUUGCGGUGUGGGAUGGGCCCGCGGCCUAUCAGCUUGUUGGUGGGGUGAUGGCCUACCAAGGCGACGACGGGUAGCCGGCCUGAGAGGGUGUCCGGCCACACUGGGACUGAGAUACGGCCCAGACUCCUACGGGAGGCAGCAGUGGGGAAUAUUGCACAAUGGGCGAAAGCCUGAUGCAGCGACGCCGCGUGGGGGAUGACGGCCUUCGGGUUGUAAACCUCUUUCACCAUCGACGAAGGUCCGGGUUUUCUCGGGCUGACGGUAGGUGGAGAAGAAGCACCGGCCAACUACGUG
This 474-nucleotide ribosomal RNA is filed under the name uncultured bacterium. RNAcentral's name for it is "partial 16S ribosomal RNA". It matches the Rfam family "Bacterial small subunit ribosomal RNA", at positions 28 to 507 of the family's 1533-position model. The record is from RNAcentral.